CAUUCCAAAUCUGUUUAAAAAAUGAUCACUAGCCGGUGGACGAAGGCUAAAGCUCGCCGAUACUAAAGAUGUUGGCGACCCCUACCCCCCAUAGGGUACGCCGAUAAAGGUGUCGACGGACCGCGCACCUUUGUUUUACUCCUAAUGGUCUUGACCCGGAUUCCCCCCCAGAACCCGG
This 178-nucleotide small RNA is filed under the name Pseudomonas massiliensis. Its description in RNAcentral is "RgsA sRNA". It matches the Rfam family "RgsA sRNA". From Rfam's summary of the family: P16 sRNA appears to be conserved across several Pseudomonas species and Azotobacter vinelandii. In these species it is consistently located downstream of a predicted TatD deoxyribonuclease gene. Lineage: Bacteria; Pseudomonadati; Pseudomonadota; Gammaproteobacteria; Pseudomonadales; Pseudomonadaceae. The record is from RNAcentral.